CUCUUUUUUUGUGUUAGACUAAGGGCGAAAGGAG
Molecule: non-coding RNA, 34 nt
Filed under: unclassified sequences
Source: RNAcentral